This 306-nucleotide ribosomal RNA is filed under the name uncultured bacterium. RNAcentral's name for it is "bacterial SSU rRNA". It matches the Rfam family "Bacterial small subunit ribosomal RNA", at positions 343 to 648 of the family's 1533-position model. The record is from RNAcentral.
GGGAGGCAGCAGUGAGGAAUAUUGGUCAAUGGGCGAGAGCCUGAACCAGCCAAGUAGCGUGAAGGAUGACUGCCUAUGGGUUGUAAACUUCUUUUAUAAAGGAAUAAGUCGGGUAUGGAUACCCGUUUGCAUGUACUUUAUGAAUAAGGAUCGGCUAACUCCGUGCCAGCAGCCGCGGUAAUACGGAGGAUCCGAGCGUUAUCCGGAUUUAUUGGGUUUAAAGGGAGCGUAGAUGGAUGUUUAAGUCAGUUGUGAAAGUUUGCGGCUCAACCGUAAAAUUGCAGUUGAUACUGGAUAUCUUGAGUG